Molecule: long non-coding RNA, 368 nt
Filed under: Populus trichocarpa (black cottonwood)
Lineage: Eukaryota; Viridiplantae; Streptophyta; Magnoliopsida; Malpighiales; Salicaceae
Description: long non-coding RNA (PTRI_LNC003781)
Source: RNAcentral
CUCAAACCCAUUAAAAUCCAUUUUUCUUGAAAAAAAAAACCCAGAAUCUCUAAUUUCUUCCAUUUAAUAGCCUAAAAGAAAAAAUAACCAUAGGGUUUUGGCACACUGAGCGUUAGGCCUCAAACACGUCCGAAAUCCUCCAAAUAGAAUGAGUGCCUUCAUUCUGUCAAGUUCUCAGCCUCCCUUCUCUGUCAAAUUUCGAGACAUCUCCAAGAACAAAGAAAGAGAGGCAGCAAGUUCCAUUCUCGAGACCCAAACACAGUAAAUAUGCUUUUUAGAGUUUAACAAAAAUUGCAUCAACAAAUCAAUUUAAUGUAAAGGAAAAAAGGGACUGAGGGGAUUGAUCUGAAAGCGAGAGAAGUGAAAAG